AUUGAACGCUGGCGGCAUGCUUUACACAUGCAAGUCGAACGGCAGCGCGGGCUUCGGCCUGGCGGCGAGUGGCGAACGGGUGAGUAAUACAUCGGAACGUGCCCAGUAGUGGGGGAUAGCUCGGCGAAAGCCGGAUUAAUACCGCAUACGACCUGAGGGUGAAAGCGGGGGAUCUUCGGACCUCUCGCUUUUUGAUCGGCCGAUGCCAGAUUAGCUAGUUGGUGGGGUAAAGGCCUACCAAGGCGACGAUCUGUAGCUGGUCUGAGAGGACGACCAGCCACACUGGGACUGAGACACGGCCCAGACGCCUACGGGAGGCAGCAGUGGGGAAUUUUGGACAAUGGGCGAAAGCCUGAUCCAGCAAUGCCGCGUGUGUGAUGAAGGCCUUCGGGUUGUAAAGCACUUUUGGCGGGAACGAAAAGGACUGUGCCAAUACCACGGUUCGAUGACGGUACCCGCAGAAUAAGCACCGGCUAACUACGUG
Molecule: ribosomal RNA, 484 nt
Filed under: uncultured bacterium
Lineage: Bacteria
Description: partial 16S ribosomal RNA
Rfam family: Bacterial small subunit ribosomal RNA
Source: RNAcentral